Molecule: ribosomal RNA, 468 nt
Filed under: uncultured bacterium
Lineage: Bacteria
Description: partial 16S ribosomal RNA
Rfam family: Bacterial small subunit ribosomal RNA
Source: RNAcentral
GACGAACGCUGGCGGCGUGCUUAACACAUGCAAGUCGAACGGAAAGGCCCUGCUUUUGUGGGGUGCUCGAGUGGCGAACGGGUGAGUAACACGUGAGUAACCUGCCCUUGACUUUGGGAUAACUUCAGGAAACUGGGGCUAAUACCGGAUAGGAGCUCCUGCUGCAUGGUGGGGGUUGGAAAGUUUCGGCGGUUGGGGAUGGACUCGCGGCUUAUCAGCUUGUUGGUGGGGUAGUGGCUUACCAAGGCUUUGACGGGUAGCCGGCCUGAGAGGGUGACCGGCCACAUUGGGACUGAGAUACGGCCCAGACUCCUACGGGAGGCAGCAGUGGGGAAUAUUGCACAAUGGGCGGAAGCCUGAUGCAGCAACGCCGCGUGCGGGAUGACGGCCUUUGGGUUGUAAACCGCCUUCGCCUGUAACGAAGCGUGAGUGACGGUAAUGGGUAAAGAAGCACCGGCUAACUACGUG